RNAcentral lists this ribosomal RNA (367 nucleotides) under uncultured organism. RNAcentral describes it as "bacterial LSU rRNA". It matches the Rfam family "Bacterial large subunit ribosomal RNA", at positions 2099 to 2465 of the family's 2925-position model. The record is from RNAcentral.
CUUUACUGUAGCUUUGCAUUGGACUUUGACGGGACUUGUGUAGGAUAGGUGGGAGGCGAUGAGACCGGGACGCUAGUUCCGGUGGAGCCGUCCUUGAAAUACCACCCUGGUGUCGUUGAGGUUCUAACCUAGGUCCAUCAUCUGGAUCGGGGACCGUGCAUGGUAGGCAGUUUGACUGGGGCGGUCUCCUCCCAAAAGGUAACGGAGGAGUACGAAGGUCUUCUAGGUACGGUCGGACAUCGUACUGAUAGUGCAAUGGCAAAAGAAGGUUUGACUGCGAGACCGACAAGUCGAGCAGGUGCGAAAGCAGGUCAUAGUGAUCCGGUGGUUCUGUAUGGAAGGGCCAUCGCUCAACGGAUAAAAGGUA